Molecule: ribosomal RNA, 253 nt
Filed under: uncultured bacterium
Lineage: Bacteria
Description: partial 16S ribosomal RNA
Rfam family: Bacterial small subunit ribosomal RNA
Source: RNAcentral
UACAGAGGUCCCAAGCGUUGUUCGGAUUCACUGGGCGUAAAGGGUGCGUAGGCGGCCUGUUAAGUCAGGGGUGAAAGACGGUAGCUCAACUAUCGCAGUGCCCUUGAUACUGACGGGCUUGAAUUGACUAGAGGUAGGCGGAAUGUGACAAGUAGCGGUGAAAUGCAUAGAUAUGUCACAGAACACCGAUUGCGAAGGCAGCUUACUAUGGUCAUAUUGACGCUGAGGCACGAAAGCGUGGGGAUCAAACAGG